RNAcentral lists this ribosomal RNA (250 nucleotides) under uncultured prokaryote. RNAcentral's name for it is "partial 16S ribosomal RNA". It matches the Rfam family "Bacterial small subunit ribosomal RNA", at positions 524 to 773 of the family's 1533-position model. The record is from RNAcentral.
UACAUAGGGGGCAAGCGUUAUCCGGAUUUACUGGGUGUAAAGGGAGCGUAGACGGCGAAGCAAGUCUGAAGUGAAAGGCGGGGGCCCAACCCCCGGACUGCUUUGGAAACUGUUUUGCUUGAGUGCGGGAGGGGCAAGCGGAAUUCCUAGUGUAGCGGUGAAAUGCGUAGAUAUCAGGAGGAACACCGGUGGCGAAGGCGGCUUGCUGGGCCGUAACUGACGUUGAGGCUCGAAGGCGUGGGGAGCAAAC